Molecule: transfer RNA, 70 nt
Filed under: Acanthodactylus schmidti
Lineage: Eukaryota; Metazoa; Chordata; Lepidosauria; Squamata; Lacertidae
Description: tRNA-Asn
Source: RNAcentral
GUGGAAGCCCGCUGGGUGGGGUGUUUAGCUGUUAACUAAAAUUUUGCAGGAUCAAGGCCUGUCCAUUCGU